RNAcentral lists this ribosomal RNA (253 nucleotides) under uncultured bacterium. Its description in RNAcentral is "partial 16S ribosomal RNA". It matches the Rfam family "Bacterial small subunit ribosomal RNA", at positions 524 to 776 of the family's 1533-position model. The record is from RNAcentral.
UACGAAGGGGGCUAGCGUUGCUCGGAAUCACUGGGCGUAAAGCGCACGUAGGCGGCUUUCUAAGUCAGGGGUGAAAUCCUGGAGCUCAACUCCAGGACUGCCUUUGAUACUGGAGAGCUUGAGUCCGGAAGAGGUGAGUGGAACUCCGAGUGUAGAGGUGAAAUUCGUAGAUAUUCGGAAGAACACCAGUGGCGAAGGCGGCUCACUGGUCCGGUACUGACGCUGAGGUGCGAAAGCGUGGGGAGCAAACAGG